Molecule: ribosomal RNA, 253 nt
Filed under: uncultured bacterium
Lineage: Bacteria
Description: partial 16S ribosomal RNA
Rfam family: Bacterial small subunit ribosomal RNA
Source: RNAcentral
GACAGAGGGUGCAAACGUUGUUCGGAAUUACUGGGCGUAAAGCGUGUGUAGGCGGUCUCAUAAGUCGGAUGUGAAAGCCCUGGGCUCAACCCAGGAAGUGCACUCGAAACUGCGAGGCUAGAGUAUCGGAGAGGUUGGUGGAAUUCUCGGUGUAGAGGUGAAAUUCGUAGAUAUCGAGGGGAACACCGGUGGCGAAGGCGGCCAACUGGACGAAUACUGACGCUGAGACACGAAAGCGUGGGGAGCAAACAGG